This 65-nucleotide transfer RNA is filed under the name Tubuca paradussumieri. RNAcentral describes it as "tRNA-Tyr". It matches the Rfam family "tRNA". From Rfam's summary of the family: Transfer RNA (tRNA) molecules are approximately 80 nucleotides in length. Their secondary structure includes four short double-helical elements and three loops (D, anti-codon, and T loops). Further hydrogen bonds mediate the characteristic L-shaped molecular structure. tRNAs have two regions of fundamental functional importance: the anti-codon, which is responsible for specific mRNA codon recognition, and the 3' end, to which the tRNAs corresponding amino acid is attached (by aminoacyl-tRNA synthetases). tRNAs cope with the degeneracy of the genetic code in two manners: having more than one tRNA (with a specific anti-codon) for a particular amino acid; and 'wobble' base-pairing, i.e. permitting non-standard base-pairing at the 3rd anti-codon position. The record is from RNAcentral. Lineage: Eukaryota; Metazoa; Arthropoda; Malacostraca; Decapoda; Ocypodidae.
AAUAAAGUGGCUGAGGUUUAGGCGGUAGAUUGUAAAUCUAAGAACAAGUGUUAACUUCUUUAUUA